GAUGUGCCCAGAUGGGAUUAGCUUGUAGGUGGGGUAACGGCUCACCUAGGCGACGAUCCCUAGCUGGUCUGAGAGGAUGACCAGCCACACUGGAACUGAGACACGGUCCAGACUCCUACGGGAGGCAGCAGUGGGGAAUAUUGCACAAUGGGCGCAAGCCUGAUGCAGCCAUGCCGCGUGUAUGAAGAAGGCCUUCGGGUUGUAAAGUACUUUCAGCGGGGAGGAAGGGAGUAAAGUUAAUACCUUUGCUCAUUGACGUUACCCGCAGAAGAAGCACCGGCUAACUCCGUGCCAGCAGCCGCGGUAAUACGGAGGGUGCAAGCGUUAAUCGGAAUUACUGGGCGUAAAGCGCACGCAGGCGGUUUGUUAAGUCAGAUGUGAAAUCCCCGGGCUCAACCUGGGAACUGCAUCUGAUACUGGCAAGCUUGAGUCUCGUAGAGGGGGGUAGAAUUCCAGGUGUAGCGGUGAAAUGCGUAGAGAUCUGGAGGAAUACCGGUGGCGAAGGCGGCCCCCUGGACGAAGACUGACGCU
Molecule: ribosomal RNA, 531 nt
Filed under: Escherichia sp.
Lineage: Bacteria; Pseudomonadati; Pseudomonadota; Gammaproteobacteria; Enterobacterales; Enterobacteriaceae
Description: bacterial SSU rRNA
Rfam family: Bacterial small subunit ribosomal RNA
Source: RNAcentral